UCUGAGUUUUUUUUUUUUUUUUCCGAUACAAUCAAUAGCUGACUUUAGUUAGGGUUUGACUUAUACUUUAACACUUAACACUUAACACUUUCCUCAAUUCCAUCGAGCAAAACACCCACUUCUGCCUCCAGCUGAAAAUCACUUUCUCUCUCUCAUCCCUCGGUCCUGCCCUCAGUCCUCCCUCAGUCCCGCUCUCAGCCCCGCCCUCAGCCCGCUCUCAGACCACGAACCCGUCUCUACUAAGCAGUUUGAAGGCAGAUCCUCUCAAACUUAGCCGGAGUUCGUCAUAUUUAGAGUAAGGAUUGCACAGAGGACCAAAGCCCCAAAACUCCGACCAUAGAUCGGAACUCAGAGAGCUCCACCAUCCCUACAAAACUAGGCACACCUCCUUACUUCACCGCCAUCACGCCAAAACCUCCGCCACGCCAAAACCACCGCUUGUCAACAACGAUUUCAGACAUGCACGAUUUGGUCAAGGACGCCCAACUCUCCUUGACAUCUCAGUCCAAAAAGGCAGAGUACUAGAUCAAUUUACUUUUGUCAUUGCACAUUGAUUCAUCACUGUGAUCAGAAGAACACUUGCGCCGGGCUCGAGCACCAAAUGGUUUGCAGAGUCGUGGAGAGCCUCAAGCUAUUAGACGAACCCUGAUAAGAUCAACAAUGUAGAUCAGUUGGGGCAAAUGGAAGAUUCAAUUCAAGAAUCGUGUAACCAGGUUACAUAAGCCACUGCUCUGGUUCUUAAAGACACGAAGACUCCUAUGAAAGGUCCACCUGGGGUGGAGUUUACUACCAAGCGCUUCUUGCACUGAACGGUUAGUUUGGAUCAUAUCAGGCAAGUGAGGAACCCUUUGAACAUGACCAUCAACGAUGUUAUAUUGGGAGUGAGUGAGUGACACAAGCAGGUUUCUCGCCGUAUUUGAACAGCAGAUAUGAAAAUUUCCGAGCUCUUUGUACAGGGACUUUUCUCUUUUAUUUACAACGCAAAAAAUACUAUAAAGUAUACGCAAGUGGUUGCUUGAUGAAAAUGAAGGGUGUUCGAUAUAUUAGCAAAGAAAGCAUCUUUUUGGCUGCUGCACCACAGGUUAUGAUUGAAGAUAUUGGGAAGCAGAUUAAGCAACUAUAAACCUACAAGUGGGAUCAAAAUUUACAAUGCUCAAAGAAAUAGGUCUGGCCGGAAAUCAAUAGUGUGGCAAAACAUGGGGGGUAUUCCGGCACAACAAAAUGUGAAGGACUGUGGCAUAUUCAUCAUGCGGUACAUGAAGGAAAUAAUUGAGGAUAAGAAUUUGGGUUUUGCUUCAAAGUGGCAGCGACGAUCCGAAUUGAUCUACACCCAAAAGGAUGUUGAUGUUGUGAGGUCAGAGUGGGCUAAGUUUGUGAUGAAGUAUCAUAUUUCAUAGCUGUGAUGGUUGUUCAAGGCAGGGCUCUUAUUUAGGGGUAUUUGAUCACCCUCCUGCGACUGAUGGUUUUAGUUUUUGCUUUAGUUAAUAGACAUGGUUAAUGCGCAGUUGAAGGCAUUUUUGUGUUGGUAUUUUGAUGAGCCUCCUGCUAGCUGGUUUUAGUUUUUGCUUGUUAUAGGCACGGUUAAUGCGCAGUUGAAGGCAUUUUUGUUUUGGUAUUUUGAUGAGCCUCCUGCUAGCUGGGUUUAGUUUUUGCUUUAGUUAUAGGCAUGGUUAAUGCGCAUUGGACGCGUUUAUAUAUGUUUUCCGGCUUUAUGCAGUUAUAGGCAAUGUUAAUUCUUAUGUAAAUAUUGGAAUGAAUAUUGCUGAUGGAAUGAAAUGGCUUUUGGAAUCAAGGAUGUGUUCAAUUGUACAGAA
Molecule: long non-coding RNA, 1814 nt
Organism: Rosa rugosa (rugosa rose)
Lineage: Eukaryota; Viridiplantae; Streptophyta; Magnoliopsida; Rosales; Rosaceae
Exons: 11
Source: RefSeq, a predicted model, not a curated record